UACAGGGGGUGCAAACGUUGCUCGGAAUCAUUGGGCGUAAAGCGCACGUAGGCGGUUCGUUAUGUCGGAUGUGAAAUCCCUCGGCUUAACCGGGGAACUGCGUCUGAUACUGGAUGGCUUGAGUUUGGGAGAGGGAUGCGGAAUUCCAGGUGUAGCGGUGAAAUGCGUAGAUAUCUGGAGGAACACCGGUGGCGAAGGCGGCAUCCUGGACCAACACUGACGCUGAGUGAGCGAAAGCCAGGGGAGCAAACGGG
This 254-nucleotide ribosomal RNA is filed under the name uncultured bacterium. Its description in RNAcentral is "partial 16S ribosomal RNA". It matches the Rfam family "Bacterial small subunit ribosomal RNA", at positions 524 to 776 of the family's 1533-position model. The record is from RNAcentral.